UAAUAAGUGUUUUAUGGCACUUUUAAAUCCAUACCCACCUUGUGUGCAAUGUCAGUCGAUCUUCUUCAUGGAGAUCGACCAAACAUCAACCUUUAUCUUUUAACUCUUUGUCUGAAAAAUAUUAUGAAUAAACAAUUCAAAAUA
This 144-nucleotide unclassified non-coding RNA is filed under the name soil metagenome. RNAcentral's name for it is "partial internal transcribed spacer 1". The record is from RNAcentral.